AAUGAUAGUAAAUCAAGUCCUGGGUCAGAAAGCAAACAGUACACCAGAAGGAAAAGUUUAUUUCAGCAGGGGAAUCUCUUCUUAGAUAAGACUAUUCAUGUAAGUCAAUGCAACUUCUACUCAAACAAAAUUAUGUGAGGACACUUCUUUGCCUAAGAAAAUAAGCUAUCUUCAUUAAUAACCAAAAAAAUGAUUUUCCAUAUUAGACUGACCUCAGCACCUCUCACAUAUUAUACUCUAUAUUAAUGUGUCUUUGGAGAUCUCUUGUAUUUCUUUAAAUUUUCUCUAUGAGACCAGAAAACCAGCCUAUAGUAUGUCACUCAGCAUGUCAUCUGUAAAAGUAAUAAAUUAAAGAAAAAAGUGGCAGAGAUCAUCCAAAAGCACUGUAUAAAAUAUGUGUGCGUAUGUAUAUCUGCAUAUGUACGCAUGCAUAAUUCCAAAUUUAGUUUCAGAGAUGAUGCAAGCCCAUAUUUUCACUUUUUUUUAAAGAACUACAAAGUGUCCUCUCUGCCUAUGGCAGGUUUCUUGUGUUUGCCUGUCCAGCAUCUCUGCUCCCGUCUUAUGGUAACCAUACCUCAUGCCUCUUACAGAGAGCGACCCCUCUGCAGUCUGUGUGAGCCUGGUAGACCAUUUAAUCACCAUGCUAUCUUUCAAAGGGUAACCUAAUUCAAGAUGACCUAAUUGGAAUUUCACUCCUAAGAAUCUGAAUCUAGAGAAAGGCCAUACACCAUGGUGACAUUUGGAACCCAACCAUUCCAGUGUUCCAGAAAUGGAUUUCAGCUGAGAGCCCUUGAGCUAUCCUUGUUCCUGACCUCUUAAAGCUUGGCUGUUUAGCUUUUUCUUCAAAUUAUAAGCAGAGAGAGAAUUCACUCACAGGAAUACAAAGAAUCCUGGGAGUUACCAAGAGACACAAAAGUUGGAAAAACUAGCACUUGCCUAGAAGAAGUCAAGCUAUCCAAGAAACCAAAGAGGAAUACUCUGGACUGGAAAAAAAAUUGAUAUUAAGAAAGCAUAUUGACCACCAUCACCUAAUAAAACAGAUA
Herpailurus yagouaroundi (jaguarundi) is the source of this 1043-nucleotide long non-coding RNA. RefSeq lists it as uncharacterized. The transcript has 3 exons. The record is from RefSeq and is a predicted model, not a curated record. NCBI's taxonomy places the organism in Eukaryota, Metazoa, Chordata, Mammalia, Carnivora, Felidae.